Molecule: ribosomal RNA, 497 nt
Filed under: uncultured bacterium
Lineage: Bacteria
Description: partial 16S ribosomal RNA
Rfam family: Bacterial small subunit ribosomal RNA
Source: RNAcentral
GAUGAACGCUGGCGGCGUGCCUAAUACAUGCAAGUCGAGCGGACAGACGAGGCGCUUGCUCCUCUCACGUUAGCGGCAGGCGGGUGAGUCACACGUGGAUCACCUACCUAUAAUUCGGAUAUCAUUUCGAGACACCGGCUCUAAUACCAUAGAAGAUAUUGCACCGCGUGGUUCAAUAGUGAGUGACGGCUUUGCGGUCACGUAUAGCUGGAUCCCGGCCGCAUGAGCUGGUUGGUAAGGUCACGGCCUACCAAGGCUACGAUGCGUAGCCGACCUGAGCGGGUGAUCGGCCACACUGGAACUGAGACACGGUCCAGACUACUACGGGAGGCAGCAGUCGGGAACGUGCCGCAAUGGGCGGAAGCCUGACGGAGCAACCCCGAGUGAGAGACGAAGGUCCUCGGAGCGUAAAGCCCGGUUACGAGUGAAGAACAGAUGUCUAAGUAACCAUGGAGGUCGUGACGGUAACGAAUAAGAAAGCCACGGCUAACUACGUG